AAAAUCAAUUAUUUCGGAACUCCUGAACUUCAAUAAUUCACAAUAAAUAGCCCUUUUAUCAGAAAAUUCGAAUCUCGCGACUUUUUAUAGGAAUUUCAAUUCUCUACAACUUUACAGAAGAAAGUUUUUCCAAAUUCCAAACAGAAAUUGACCAAAAUCCAUAAACGGACGAUUUUACAGUCUAUAAUCAAUUUUCGGUCAAGAAUUGUGUCCACCGACACACAAAACAUAUGUUAAACAUUUAAUGCCACAAAAUACUCUACCUCCUCAUAUACUC
Molecule: long non-coding RNA, 277 nt
Filed under: Panax ginseng (ginseng)
Lineage: Eukaryota; Viridiplantae; Streptophyta; Magnoliopsida; Apiales; Araliaceae
Description: long non-coding RNA (PGIN_LNC012039)
Source: RNAcentral